RNAcentral lists this ribosomal RNA (1237 nucleotides) under Dendropoma corrodens (ringed wormsnail). RNAcentral describes it as "16S ribosomal RNA". It matches the Rfam family "Bacterial large subunit ribosomal RNA", at positions 430 to 2597 of the family's 2925-position model. The record is from RNAcentral. Lineage: Eukaryota; Metazoa; Mollusca; Gastropoda; Littorinimorpha; Vermetidae.
GUUGAUGCAAGAAGAGUUGAUUUAGAAAGCACAAAGAUGUUCAUAUAGGCAUUGUAUUGUUAGUAAUAUCUAAUGAAAAAAGUUAAAUAGAUAGUUAGUACUGCGAAGGAAUAGUAUAUUAAUAGUAGUAACAAGUAGUGGUUAUACCAUGUACCUUUUGCAUUAUGGCCUGGAAAGAUAGAAGAAUCAGAUAGAUUUUCCUCGAAGCCUAACGAGCGUCCUUUUUGUUACAUUUAGUGUAAAACCUUGCUUAUGUGGCACAAUGAGGAGGAAAUAAAAAGGAAGUGUUGAAAUUUCAUUCGUGUAGGGGGAUAGCUAGUUUUUUCAUAAAUACAUGUUAGUGUAGCGGUUGUAGUUAUAACUAAAUCUUUUUGACUAUGUGUGUGGGAGUGGAAUUAGUUAGUAUACUACCGUUAGGCAUUGGAGACUAAGCUCUGGUGUUGGAAAGUUUUAUAAUAAACAAAUUUUUGAGGGGGGGAGCCUAAAACUAGCAAUCCCUUCAACCAUUUGUUAUAAUUGACUCCUAUUAAAUGCAAAUGUUAAGAUAUUUUUAAGAAGCAAUUUAUUUAAUGAAAAUACAUGCAAAAACAUGAUUGUUUGAAAAUAAUGCUAGGAUGAGUAUCACGAAGUUGAAAUACGUGUGGAACUUACUUAUUUCAAGAAGAAGGUAAUAAAUUGAUAGAUAGUUACAGUUGUAUAUUUUAGAAAAGGAAUUCGGCAAAAUAGACCCCCGCCUGUUUAACAAAAACAUGGCUCUUUGUUAGAACUAUAAAGAGUUUGACCUGCUCUAUGAUUUUUAUUAAAUGGCCGCGGUACCCUGACCGUGCAAAGGUAGCAUAAUCACUUGCCUUUUAAUUGGAGGCUGGUAUGAAUGGUUGGACGGGGGGUUAACUGUCUCUCCUAAAAUACGAGAAUUUAAUUUAUAGGUACAAAAGCCUAUAUUCUAUUAAAAGACGAGAAGACCCUAGCGAGCUUUAUUCUAGCUGUGUAAUUAUUAUCAUCACAGGGAGAUUUUGGUUGGGGCGACUGAGGAGAAAAAAGCAUCCUUGUUUUAUAAUAAAAUUGUGGUUGCAGAUCCAACCAAUGUUGAGUGACAGGUGAGCUACCGUAGGGAUAACAGCGUAAUCCUUUUAGAGAGUUCUAAUCGAAAAAAGGGUUUGCGACCUCGAUGUUGGACUAGGAUAUCCUAUGGGUGCAGAAGCUUUUAAGGGUUGGUCUGUUCGACCACUAAAAUCCU